Molecule: ribosomal RNA, 440 nt
Filed under: uncultured bacterium
Lineage: Bacteria
Description: partial 16S ribosomal RNA
Rfam family: Bacterial small subunit ribosomal RNA
Source: RNAcentral
CCUACGGGAGGCAGCAGUGAGGAAUAUUGGGCAAUGGGGGCAACCCUGACCCAGCCAUGCCGCGUGAGUGAAGAAGGUCUUCGGUUUGUAAAGCCCCUUUGGACGUGACGAUGAUGCCGGGAGUGUUCAAAGAAGCAGCGGCCAAGUACUUGCCCGCAGCCGUGGUACUACGAAGGGAGCGGGCGUAGUUCGGAAUUACGGGGCGUAAAGGGGGUGUAGGCGGUUAUGUAAGUUAGCGGGGAAAGGCCCGGGCUCAACCCCGGAACUGCCAUUAUGACUCUGUCUCUAGAGUAAUGGAGAGGAUAGCGGAAUACCCAGUGUAGAGGUGAAAUUCGUAGAUAUUGGGUAGAACACCGGUGGCGAAGGCAGCUAUCUGGCCAUUUACUGACGCUGAGGCUCGAAAGCAUGGGGAUCAAACAGGAUUAGAUACCCGAGUAGUC